GAGCCGAAAACCAGGUUACUGGCUUUCUUAGGGGAAAAACACCUGCCGGGCAGUCUCGCAAGGGAGAACAGCAAGCCGUGCAGAGGUGUAAGCGGCUGCUAGCCCAGGGCGUGUUGCUUCAGAGGAUGCUCUUUUCUCUGAAGGAUCCAGAACCCUUCUCUUCUGCAGUUUAAGAUUCAAGGACAUUUACCAGUUCCCACUCACGGUCAAGCCAUCCAGCCCAUGUUCAAGAAAAACAACUUGAAAGGCACACACUCACACAGGCUGCAGCAACUGGGCUACUCACCCACAAGCCGAUCAGCGAGGCUGACAGGCUGCGAGGACACUCCUGCCUUGUAUCCUGUCACCUCUGGAGGAAUGAUGAGCGCCUGGCAGACGUAGGCUGUGAUGGAUUUGGAGGAACCUGACUCCCCCUCAGGAAUCCGGAGGCCACUGCCCAGAUGCCAAAUAACCCUUGGGACCAGACGGUCACAGAUCUCCCUUACCCAUCUCUUGAAGAUGAGGCUUGUUCACGACUGAGGCCUAGCCCCUGACAACCAACUUCUACAGGUAAGAACGUGCCAUCCAUGGUCACAGCCUGGAUGGGUGUCCUCCAGGACUCCACCCUGGGAGUAUGCUAUGGGGGACAUUUGGGGAUCAGCCCCUCCAAAACCCCAUCUAGGACCUGGCACCCUCUGAGGCUGAGGUG
Myotis davidii is the source of this 688-nucleotide long non-coding RNA. RefSeq lists it as uncharacterized. The record is from RefSeq and is a predicted model, not a curated record. The transcript has 4 exons. Lineage: Eukaryota; Metazoa; Chordata; Mammalia; Chiroptera; Vespertilionidae.